This 369-nucleotide ribosomal RNA is filed under the name Argyra vestita. Its description in RNAcentral is "partial 12S ribosomal RNA". Lineage: Eukaryota; Metazoa; Arthropoda; Insecta; Diptera; Dolichopodidae. The record is from RNAcentral.
UAUUAUUGAAAAUGUAAAUAUAAUUUAUUAAAGUAGUAUUAGUUAUGUUCUUGAAACUUAAAAAAUUUGGCGGUAUUUUAGUCUAUUCAGAGGAACCUGUAAUGUAAUUGAUAAUCCACGUUGGACCUUACUUAAUCUUGUAAUUUUUUUUUUAAAAAAAAAAAUCUAUUUGUAUAUCGCUGUUAUUUGAAAAUUUUAAAAGAAUAAAAAUUUUCAUAAUUUUUUAUAUAAAAAAUAAAUCAAGUCAAGGUGCAGUUUAUGAUUAAGUAUUAUAUGGGUUACAUUAAAUUUAUUUAAAUGAAUUAAUUUUUGCAAUAGGUUUAUGAAGGUGGAUUUGAAAGUAAAUUUUUAUAGAUUAAAAAAUUGAUU